AGUGAACGCUGGCGGUAGGCCUAACACAUGCAAGUCGAACGGCAGCACAGUAAGAGCUUGCUCUUACGGGUGGCGAGUGGCGGACGGGUGAGGAAUACAUCGGAAUCUACUUUUUCGUGGGGGAUAACGUAGGGAAACUUACGCUAAUACCGCAUACGACCUACGGGUGAAAGCAGGGGAUCUUCGGACCUUGCGCGAUUGAAUGAGCCGAUGUCGGAUUAGCUAGUUGGCGGGGUAAAGGCCCGCCAAGGCGACGAUCCGUAGCUGGUCUGAGAGGAUGAUCAGCCACACUGGAACUGAGACACGGUCCAGACUCCUACGGGAGGCAGCAGUGGGGAAUAUUGGACAAUGGGCGCAAGCCUGAUCCAGCCAUACCGCGUGGGUGAAGAAGGCCUUCGGGUUGUAAAGCCCUUUUGUUGGGAAAGAAAAGCAGCAGGUUAAUACCCCGCUGUUUUGACGGUACCCAAAGAAUAAGCACCGGCUAACUUCGUG
RNAcentral lists this ribosomal RNA (492 nucleotides) under uncultured bacterium. RNAcentral describes it as "partial 16S ribosomal RNA". It matches the Rfam family "Bacterial small subunit ribosomal RNA", at positions 29 to 507 of the family's 1533-position model. The record is from RNAcentral.